This is a small nucleolar RNA of Elaeis guineensis (African oil palm), 99 nucleotides long. The record is from RefSeq and is a predicted model, not a curated record. Lineage: Eukaryota; Viridiplantae; Streptophyta; Magnoliopsida; Arecales; Arecaceae.
UUUGGGCAGAUGAGGAAUCUCAUAACUUUAAUGGGUAAUUUGCAUUUGAAACACCUCAAUGAUGUUACCUAUCAUCAUGUUGGAGAUCUGAUGCCCCUU